UACGGAGGGUGCAACCGUUGCUCGGAAUCAUUGGGCGUAAAGCGCACGUAGGCGGCCUGUUAAGUCGGGUGUGAAAUCCCUCGGCUCAACCGAGGAAGUGCAUUCGAAACUGGCGGGCUUGAAUGUGGAAGAGGGUCGUGGAAUUCCCGGUGUAGAGGUGAAAUUCGUAGAUAUCGGGAGGAACACCAGUGGCGAAGGCGGCGACCUGGGCCAACAUUGACGCUGAGGUGCGAAAGCGUGGGGAGCAAACAGG
RNAcentral lists this ribosomal RNA (253 nucleotides) under uncultured bacterium. Its description in RNAcentral is "partial 16S ribosomal RNA". It matches the Rfam family "Bacterial small subunit ribosomal RNA", at positions 524 to 776 of the family's 1533-position model. The record is from RNAcentral.